Molecule: ribosomal RNA, 244 nt
Filed under: uncultured bacterium
Lineage: Bacteria
Description: partial 16S ribosomal RNA
Rfam family: Bacterial small subunit ribosomal RNA
Source: RNAcentral
UAGUGAGUUUGAUCCUGGCUCAGGGUGAACGCUGGCGGCGUGCCUAAGACAUGCAAGUCGAACGCAGUAGCUUGCUACUGAGUGGCGCACGGGUGAGUAACACGUAACUGACCUGCCCCGAAGUCUCGCAUAACAGCCCGAAAGGGCUGCUAAUUCGGGAUGUGAACCCGCACUGUGGUGCGUGUUUAAAGAUUCAUCGCUUCGGGAUGGGGGUUGCGGCGCAUCAGCUUGUUGGUGAGGUAAA